GAUGAACGCUGGCGGCGUGCCUAAUACAUGCCAGUCGAGCGAACGGACGAGAAGCUUGCUUCUCUGAUGUUAGCGGCGGACGGGUGAGUAACACGUGGAUAACCUACCUAUAAGACUGGGAUAAUUUCGGGAAACCGGAGCUAAUACCGGAUAAUAUUUUGAACCGCAUGGUUCAAAAGUGAAAGACGGUCUUGCUGUCACUUAUAGAUGGAUCCGCGCUGCAUUAGCUAGUUGGUAAGGUAACGGCUUACCAAGGCAACGAUGCAUAGCCGACCUGAGAGGGUGAUCGGCCACACUGGAACUGAGACACGGUCCAGACUCCUACGGGAGGCAGCAGUAGGGAAUCUUCCGCAAUGGGCGAAAGCCUGACGGAGCAACGCCGCGUAAGUGAUGAAGGUCUUCGGAUCGUAAAACUCUGUUAUUAGGGAAGAACAUAUGUGUAAGUAACUGUGCACAUCUUGACGGUACCUAAUCAGAAAGCCACGGCUAACUACGUG
This 497-nucleotide ribosomal RNA is filed under the name uncultured bacterium. RNAcentral's name for it is "partial 16S ribosomal RNA". It matches the Rfam family "Bacterial small subunit ribosomal RNA", at positions 28 to 507 of the family's 1533-position model. The record is from RNAcentral.